Molecule: long non-coding RNA, 312 nt
Filed under: Cavia porcellus (domestic guinea pig)
Lineage: Eukaryota; Metazoa; Chordata; Mammalia; Rodentia; Caviidae
Description: lncRNA (ENSCPOG00000040348.1)
Source: RNAcentral
AGGGCUCUUCCUGUGUCAUGGCGCCGAAGAACUUUCCCCUCGCACAUUGCACAUUGUACCCUGGCUGGAUACGCUGCUUUCUGUGAACUCUACAAGCUAUAGUCUGUAUUGGAAAUACCCUAGGAGACCCUCAAGCUGCGCAAUGGAAAUCUUGUUAUACUGGGAGCCAUAAUGAUAGGGCCUAAUACCACCUGAAAUCCAUACCAGAGCCUGAAAUACUGAUGCUUUUGCAGGUCCGGCCUCUGCACCUGGAUUAUCAAUAAAAUGUGAGCUCAUAGAGGCAAUCUUGGUUUUUAUUAACAAACAGUUUUC